AUCUCCUCCGCCAGAACCCCCCUCGGCAUCUUCCAACAAGUCACCACCUGCUCCUCCUGUAACGGAACCGGAGAAAUCUCAACCCCCUGCGCCACAUGCUCCGGCGACGGCCGAGUCCGCAAGUCAAAACGAAUCAGUCUCAAAGUCCCUCCCGGCGUCGAUUCCGGUAGCCGGUUGAGAGUUAGGUCAGAAGGUAACGCCGGAAGAAGAGGCGGACCCGCCGGCGACCUUUUUGUGAUUCUCGAUGUUCUUCCAGAUCCGGUGCUGAAACGUGACGACACCAACAUUUUGUACACUUGUAAGGUGACGUAUCUGGACGCGAUACUUGGGACGACGGUGAAGGUGCCGACGGUUGACGGGGCGGUG
Molecule: long non-coding RNA, 366 nt
Filed under: Lactuca sativa (garden lettuce)
Lineage: Eukaryota; Viridiplantae; Streptophyta; Magnoliopsida; Asterales; Asteraceae
Description: long non-coding RNA (LSAT_LNC007507)
Source: RNAcentral